Molecule: long non-coding RNA, 592 nt
Organism: Myzus persicae (green peach aphid)
Lineage: Eukaryota; Metazoa; Arthropoda; Insecta; Hemiptera; Aphididae
Exons: 3
Source: RefSeq, a predicted model, not a curated record
UCAGUGAUAUCUGUUUAUCAUACAUACCACUCGUUAGAAUCCUUUUCGAAUUCUGAGUGGUUAUUUUUCACUCUUUCCUUGCAAAAGACCAACUUUGCUUUGACUGUUUACAAAACAAAUGUUUAGCCUUUAGCAUCAAAUGCUGCGUUCCUACUCGAACAUACUAAUUGCAUAACAAUACUACCCCAACAUCCGCGAAGUACUCCACUUCUAAACUCUAUCCUCAAGUCACCUUGAAGUUUAUUCUAUAGGCCUAGUUACAUGUGGUCCGAAAAAAUGUAUACCGACAAUAAAGUGUCUAUCCAGCGAGUGUACGGAUGCAGAUGGAGUGGAAACGGGUCGCCAUAACGUCCUUGUACUUUUGUACUUGCAGUCAAUGCGUACAGCGUCAGUAUAAGAACUUGGCAUUUCAGCAUGUAGGUAUUUAGGCGAAAUGGAAGAAGACGGUAAAAAAUGUCACGAAGAUGUAGUGAAGAUAGAAAAACUUCCAAAACAAUGUUCAUCUUUUGUUUAUGAUGGAGUUAUUUGUAGAGAAAACUAUAAUAUCGAGAUUCUCGACACAACUUUCGGAUUAGGUAAAAAACAAUUAUCA